RNAcentral lists this transfer RNA (70 nucleotides) under Dipodomys ordii (Ord's kangaroo rat). It matches the Rfam family "tRNA". From Rfam's summary of the family: Transfer RNA (tRNA) molecules are approximately 80 nucleotides in length. The record is from Rfam by way of RNAcentral. Lineage: Eukaryota; Metazoa; Chordata; Mammalia; Rodentia; Heteromyidae.
GGGACUGUGGCUUAGUGGUAGAGUGUUUGUCUUGCAUAUAUGAAGUCCUGGCUUCGAUUCCUCAGUACCA